RNAcentral lists this long non-coding RNA (319 nucleotides) under Brassica napus (rape). Its description in RNAcentral is "long non-coding RNA (BNAP_LNC025911)". The record is from RNAcentral. Lineage: Eukaryota; Viridiplantae; Streptophyta; Magnoliopsida; Brassicales; Brassicaceae.
UGCACCAAUACCUCCAAACAACCCUCCUUAUCAUAACAUGUCUCCAAAAUAGCCUCUGGCUCCAACGUAAACUCAUCAUCAGGAGACAAUAACUUUGGCAACGUAGUAACCUGAUGAUUGGCUCCCAAAAACGGUUUCAAUUGUGACACAUGAAAAACCGGAUGAAUCUUGGAAUACGGAGGCAAUUGAAGCUUAUAUGCCACUUUCCCAAUUUUCUCCAAUAUCUCAAAUGGACCAUAGUAUUUGGCCGCAAUUUUUGCCAAAAACGUUUAGUUACCGAAGUCUGUUGGUAAGGUCGAAGCUUCAAAAAUACCAUAUC